RNAcentral lists this unclassified non-coding RNA (380 nucleotides) under uncultured Chloroflexota bacterium. Its description in RNAcentral is "uncultured Chloroflexi bacterium contains 16S-23S intergenic spacer region". Lineage: Bacteria; Bacillati; Chloroflexota. The record is from RNAcentral.
UCCGGUUUAGCACCGGCAGUCCACCCAGAGUCCCCGCCUUAACGCGCUGGCAACUGGGUGCGGGGGUUGCGCUCGUUGCGGGACUUAACCCAACACCUCACGGCACGAGCUGACGGCAGCCAUGCAGCAUCUGUGCACCCUCCCUUGCGGGUCCCUCGGGUUACCCCUCAGUACCAGGUGCAUGUCAAGCCGAGGUAAGGUUCUGCGCGUUGCAUCGAAUUAAACCACACGCUCCGCUGCUUGUGCGGGCCCCCGUCAAUUCCUUUGAGUUUUAGCCUUGCGGCCGUAGUCCCCAGGCGGCGGACUUAAUGCGUUAGCUGCGGCGCCGAGGGGGUCGAUACCCCCGACACCUAGUCCGCAUCGUUUACGGCGUGGACUAC